GCGUUGUCCGGAUUUAUUGGGCGUAAAGAGCGUGUGGGCGGCUAGGUAGGUCCGUUGUGAAAACUCGAGGCUCAACCUCGUGACGUCGAUGGAAACCUUCUGGCUAGAGUCCGGAAGAGGAGAGUGGAAUUCCUGGUGUUGCGGUGAAAUGCGCAGAUAUCAGGAAGAACACCCGUGGGGAAGGCGGCUCUCUGGUACGUGACUGACGCUGAGUCGCGAAAGCGUG
Molecule: ribosomal RNA, 226 nt
Filed under: uncultured bacterium
Lineage: Bacteria
Description: partial 16S ribosomal RNA
Rfam family: Bacterial small subunit ribosomal RNA
Source: RNAcentral